RNAcentral lists this ribosomal RNA (467 nucleotides) under uncultured bacterium. RNAcentral's name for it is "partial 16S ribosomal RNA". It matches the Rfam family "Bacterial small subunit ribosomal RNA", at positions 28 to 507 of the family's 1533-position model. The record is from RNAcentral.
GAUGAACGCUGGCGGCGCGCCUAACACAUGCAAGUCGAACGAUUAAAGCACCUUCGGGUGUGUAUAAAGUGGCGAACGGCUGAGUAACACGUGGGCAACCUGCCCCUUUCAUUGGGAUAGCCACGGGAAACCGUGGAUAAUACCGAAUACUUCGAGACUUCCGCAUGGAAGACUCGAGAAAGCUCCGGCGGAGAGGGAUGGGCCCGCGGCCUGUUAGCUUGUUGGUGGGGUAACGGCCUACCAAGGCAAUGAUGGGUAGCUGGGUUGAGAGACCGACCAGCCAGAUUGGGACUGAGACACGGCCCAGACUCCUACGGGAGGCAGCAGUGGGGAAUCUUGCACAAUGGGCGAAGGCCUGAUGCAGCGACGCCGCGUGCGGGAUGAAGGCCUUCGGGUUGUAAACCGCUUUCAGCAGGGACGAGGCGAAAGUGACGGUACCUGCAGAAGAAGCCCCGGCUAACUACGUG